CCUACGGGAUGCAGCAGUGGGGAAUAUUGCGCAAUGGGCGAAAGCCUGACGCAGCGACGCCGCGUGAGGGAUGAAGGUCUUCGGAUCGUAAACCUCUGUCAGCAGGGAAGAACGGUCACUGUGCUAAUCAGCAGUGAAUUGACGGUACCUGCAAAGGAAGCACCGGCUAACUCCGUGCCAGCAGCCGCGGUAAUACGGAGGGUGCGAGCGUUAAUCGGAAUUACUGGGCGUAAAGCGCUCGUAGGCGGUAGGUCAAGUCAAGGGGGAAAUCCCCGCGCUCAACGUGGGAACUGCCUUUGAAACUGGCAAACUGGAGUGUGUGAGAGGAUAGUGGAAUUCCAGGUGUAGGAGUGAAAUCCGUAGAUAUCUGGAGGAACAUCAGUGGCGAAGGCGACUAUCUGGCACAUAACUGACGCUGAGGAGCGAAAGCGUGGGUAGCAAACAGGAUUAGAUACCCGAGUAGUC
This 465-nucleotide ribosomal RNA is filed under the name uncultured bacterium. RNAcentral's name for it is "partial 16S ribosomal RNA". It matches the Rfam family "Bacterial small subunit ribosomal RNA", at positions 338 to 795 of the family's 1533-position model. The record is from RNAcentral.